CGUCCUUUCUCCGACCGCCGCGCUCCGGGUGGGUUGUGCUGUAGGGAGCUCCCCUGCUGCCACCCACGUCCGUCCUCCACUCCCCCACCCUUCGCUCUUAGUCCCGUCGCCUGCGGCCCCGCACUCACCUGCGCUGCCCCCCGAGGCUGCAGGAUGUUCAGUGCGGACUGGAGGAGCCGGGCCUUCCCGCCUGCUCGGCCGGGGUCCCUCAGGGCACGUAGGCCGCAUGCGCAGGGAGAGGGGCCGAGGCCCGUGCAAGACGCCCCCUUCUCCCGCCGGAGUCCGCGCGGCUCUGCGCCCCGGUGUGACAGCUGUGCCAGAUGAAGAUUGCAGGAUGGUUCGAGUUGAUUCUGCUGGGUGAGCACUCUGGAGCCAUGACAGUGAUGGACACAACCACUGCAGGACCUGAUUGCCUCCAUGUUUCCUGGCAGCGUCUGAUAAUGACAUAGCUGAGGAUACCAGCUUGUUGCUGCUCCUAUGUUUUAGAAUAAGAUCUGUAACCAGUAAGCUGUCUUCAUUUAUAAUUAAGGAUCUACAGAACUGGGAGAGCUCUACAGUAAGGCAAGCUACAAGACAAGUUUGAGACUGUUCUGCUUAAAAUCUCCUGGCUCCUCCACGCUCCAAGGCCUGCUGGUUUUUGAAAUAGGCCUUUCUUUGCCCACCCCUUAUUGUGGGGCUGGUUCCUUAUCCACCCUGCCCUGCAGCAUGGAUUGUCUUGUGCGCUACAUUCCCUUAAUAAAUUCUUGAUGUAAUGAA
This is a long non-coding RNA of Eptesicus fuscus (big brown bat), 756 nucleotides long. RefSeq lists it as uncharacterized. The transcript has 5 exons. NCBI's taxonomy places the organism in Eukaryota, Metazoa, Chordata, Mammalia, Chiroptera, Vespertilionidae. The record is from RefSeq and is a predicted model, not a curated record.